CUACGUAGGUGGCGAGCGUUGUCCGGAAUUACUGGGUGUAAAGGGCGUGUAGGCGGGAUUGCAAGUCGGAUGUGAAAUUCCGGGGCUUAACCUCGGCGCUGCAUCUGAAACUGUGAUUCUUGAGUGCUGGAGAGGAUAGUGGUAUUCCUAGUGUAGCGGUGAAAUGCGUAGAUAUUAGGAGGAACACCAGUGGCGAAGGCGACUAUCUGGACAGUAACUGACGCUGAGGCGCGAAAGCGUGGGGAGCAAACAGGAUUAGAUACCCUGGUAGUCCACGCCGUAAACGAUGGAUACUAGGUGUAGGAGGUAUCGACCCCUUCUGUACCGGAGUUAACACAAUAAGUAUCCCACCUGGGGAGUACGGCCGCAAGGUUGA
RNAcentral lists this ribosomal RNA (376 nucleotides) under uncultured bacterium. Its description in RNAcentral is "bacterial SSU rRNA". It matches the Rfam family "Bacterial small subunit ribosomal RNA", at positions 523 to 897 of the family's 1533-position model. The record is from RNAcentral.